RNAcentral lists this transfer RNA (64 nucleotides) under Megabalanus volcano. RNAcentral's name for it is "tRNA-Ala". The record is from RNAcentral. Lineage: Eukaryota; Metazoa; Arthropoda; Thecostraca; Balanomorpha; Balanidae.
AAGUAGAAGUUUUUAUAAUAUUUGACCUGCACUCAGAAGAAGGUAAUUUCUAUUACCCUACUUU